AGCCGGGUCGUCUAGCGGCCCAGGAUGCGGGGCUUUGGCCCCCGAGACCGGGGUUCGAAUCCCCGCCCGGCUGCCA
RNAcentral lists this transfer RNA (76 nucleotides) under Desulfurococcales archaeon. RNAcentral describes it as "tRNA-Gln". It matches the Rfam family "tRNA". From Rfam's summary of the family: Transfer RNA (tRNA) molecules are approximately 80 nucleotides in length. Lineage: Archaea; Thermoproteati; Thermoproteota; Thermoprotei; Desulfurococcales. The record is from RNAcentral.